CCAGCUCUAAUAGCGUAUAUUAAAGUUGUUGCAGUUAAAAAGCUCGUAGUUGGAUUUUGAGGUCGAUCGGGCGGGCGGCGCAAGUCGCACUGUUUGGUCGGCUUCUUUCUUCCGUGUGACCAGCGGCAUUCACUUGUCGUUGUAAUUGCGCGGAUCGUUUACUGUGAAAAAAUUAGAGUGUUCAAGGCAGGCGUUUGCUUGAAUACAUUAGCAUGGAAUAAUGGAAUAGGACUUCGGACCUAUUUUGUUGGUUUCUAGGACCGUCGUAAUGAUUAAUAGGGACAGUUGGGGCCGUUCAUAUUCCGUAGUCAGAGGUGAAAUUCUUGGAUUUACGGAAGAUGAACUACUGCGAAAGCAUUCGGCAAGGAUGUUUUCG
Molecule: ribosomal RNA, 376 nt
Filed under: uncultured Cryptophyta
Lineage: Eukaryota; Cryptophyceae
Description: SSU rRNA
Rfam family: Eukaryotic small subunit ribosomal RNA
Source: RNAcentral